Molecule: ribosomal RNA, 465 nt
Filed under: uncultured bacterium
Lineage: Bacteria
Description: partial 16S ribosomal RNA
Rfam family: Bacterial small subunit ribosomal RNA
Source: RNAcentral
GACGAACGCUGGCGACGUGCUUAACACAUGCAAGUCGAACGGAAAGGCCCUGCUUGCAGGGUACUCGAGUGGCGAACGGGUGAGUAACACGUGGGUGAUCUGCCCUGCACUUCGGGAUAAGCCUGGGAAACUGGGUCUAAUACCGGAUAGGAGCCAGUUUUAGUGUGAUGGUUGGAAAGUUUUUUUCGGUGUAGGAUGAGCUCGCGGCCUAUCAGCUUGUUGGUGGGGUAAUGGCCUACCAAGGCGGCGACGGGUAGCCGGCCUGAGAGGGUGGACGGCCACAUUGGGACUGAGAUACGGCCCAGACUCCUACGGGAGGCAGCAGUGGGGAAUAUUGCACAAUGGGCGCAAGCCUGAUGCAGCGACGCCGCGUGGGGGAUGACGGCCUUCGGGUUGUAAACUCCUUUCGCUAGGGACGAAGCUUUUUGUGACGGUACCUAGAUAAGAAGCACCGGCUAACUACGU